GAAAAGGUUGGGAAGAAGAGGAGUACAUCGAACACCCUGUCAGAGAGAACCGUCCAUCGGCUGGAAGGCGGUUUGAGGAAGUGGAGAUGGAAGGUAGCUUCGGAACCGGGAUGGGGAAAUGGCGGAAACACCGCCACACAGUAGUCAUCCACGCCUCGUCAGCGUUAUGGGACGGUAGAGAUGUACGGGAAACUGUUUUUACAGAAAGCAGAUUCAUAUUCCGUAUAACCAAAGGUGGUACCGCGUAAUCACGCCCUUUGC
RNAcentral lists this non-coding RNA (261 nucleotides) under Hungatella hathewayi. RNAcentral describes it as "Clostridium hathewayi T-box sequence". It matches the Rfam family "T-box leader". Rfam says of the family: Uncharged tRNA acts as the effector for transcription antitermination of genes in the T-box leader family. T-boxes are found upstream of many aminoacyl-tRNA synthetase genes and some amino acid biosynthetic genes usually in Gram-positive bacteria. The anticodon of a specific tRNA base pairs to a specifier sequence within the T-box motif, and the NCCA acceptor tail of the tRNA base pairs to a conserved bulge in the T-box antiterminator hairpin. The record is from RNAcentral. Lineage: Bacteria; Bacillati; Bacillota; Clostridia; Lachnospirales; Lachnospiraceae.